Molecule: ribosomal RNA, 271 nt
Filed under: uncultured archaeon
Lineage: Archaea
Description: partial 16S ribosomal RNA
Rfam family: Archaeal small subunit ribosomal RNA
Source: RNAcentral
CGGCGGCCCGAGUGGUAGCCGUUUUUAUUGGGUCUAAAGGGUCCGUAGCCGGCUUGAUAAGUCUUUUGGGAAAUCUGACAGCUUAACUGUCAGGCUUCUAAGGGAUACUGUCAGGCUUGGGACCGGAAGAGGUAAGGGGUACUCCAGGGGUAGGAGUGAAAUCUUGUAAUCCCUGGGGGACCAUCUGUGGCGAAGGCGCCUUACCAGAACGGGUCCGACGGUGAGGGACGAAAGCUAGGGGAGCAAACCGGAUUAGAUACCCGAGUAGUCC